GUGCUCGCUUUGGCAGCACAUAUACUAAAAUUGGAAUGAUACAGAGAAAAUUAGGAUGGCCCCUGCACAAGGAUGACACGCAAAUUCGUGAAGCAUUCCAUAUUUUU
RNAcentral lists this small nuclear RNA (107 nucleotides) under Myotis brandtii (Brandt's bat). Lineage: Eukaryota; Metazoa; Chordata; Mammalia; Chiroptera; Vespertilionidae. The record is from RNAcentral.